Molecule: ribosomal RNA, 377 nt
Filed under: uncultured bacterium
Lineage: Bacteria
Description: bacterial SSU rRNA
Rfam family: Bacterial small subunit ribosomal RNA
Source: RNAcentral
AUACGUAGGGGGCGAGCGUUGUCCGGAAUUACUGGGCGUAAAGGGCGCGUAGGCGGUCUAAUAAGUCAGAUGUGAAACCCCUGGGCUUAACCCUGGGCUUGCAUUUGAAACUGUUGGACUUGAGGACAGGAGAGGAAAGCGGAAUUCCCAGUGUAGCGGUGAAAUGCGUAGAUAUUGGGAGGAACACCAGUGGCGAAGGCGGCUUUCUGGACUGAACCUGACGCUGAGGCGCGAAAGCCAGGGGAGCGAACGGGAUUAGAUACCCCGAUAGUCCUGGCCGUAAACGAUGGAUACUAGGUGUGGGAGGUAUCGACCCCUUCCGUGCCGGAGCAAACGCAAUAAGUAUCCCGCCUGGGGAGUACGGCCGCAAGGCUGAA